Long non-coding RNA from Oryzias melastigma (Indian medaka), 891 nucleotides. RefSeq lists it as uncharacterized. Lineage: Eukaryota; Metazoa; Chordata; Actinopteri; Beloniformes; Adrianichthyidae. The record is from RefSeq and is a predicted model, not a curated record. The transcript has 2 exons.
ACUGUGAUCCUGUCUGUCUUCAUCAGCACAUCUCCAAAAGGAGGCUACACAACCCCACGGCAGGGCAGUUCCAGGGCCUUCUCCGCCGUAUGAUGUUCGCUGUGGUGUCUCACCAAAAGGAUCAGGAAACGUUCUGCAGAAGAGAACUGUCUCCCUGUCAGCUGCAGACGUGCACUCUGCUCGGAUGUCAGAGGAACAUCUCCCAUCCCCAUUCUCUUGCAUUCCUGCAGUCAUUUGACCACAGCUACCUGCCUGCCUGCCUGUUUUGGUGGUCAUUUAGGCAGAGUCUUCUCUACAUUUCUGGAUUGGUUAUCAUAAGAAUGUCCUGUGAAGUCACAGCAGAUGUUCCUUCAUUCUUGGAUCCAAGCGACCUUCUGCUGAGGAACCUGAAGAACAGUGGAGGGCUGGAGGUCUCCUCAAAGGGGAACAAUGAAGGUUUUCAGAACAACAGAAUGUGUGGUGCACCAGAACUCUAAAGAUUAGGGUCAAUCUUUUUGUUCAAGCUGAAAUUGGUUCAGAAAGGUAUUUUAAGCCAGAAAGCAGAUCAGAGUUCAGGAUGACAACCACAAUUUAAUAACUUAUAGUUUUUUUUGGGUUCCAUAAAGUGAGUCUGAACCACAUGGGAAAAUGAACCACACUGGAGAUUCAGAGUGCCACUGCAUGAGAGUGGCUGUUAGUUUUUAGGGUUUUAGUUGUGAUAUUUUGAUCAUAUUUCAGCUUAGUUAGAUUUGUAGAUGACAGCCAUGUCUUUUUUAUACUGGAGAACAUUCUCUUGUAGAAGGAAUAAAGGUAUUCUAUUUAAAUGUUUCAAUUAUUUAAGGCCAUGUCGUGUGAAGCUGUAAGAGAAUAACUUUGGUUUAUUAAAUAAAGCAGCAGAUGUGAGGAAAAGAA